CGCCCAGCCUGUCGGCGCCCUCGCUGACGCCACGGCCGUCCAUCUCCUCGCCUGCCUCUGGGUGCAUUGUUGAGACUCCCCUGUCUGGACUCGCCCGGACACCUGGGACCCACAGCUUCCCUCUGUGACCCCGGGAGCCCUGGCCCCCUUCGCCUCUGCGCCCCCUCACCCCCCCUAACAUGCUGGAGCAAGUGGUGAGCGCAGGCUUGUCCAGCCUGAGUCCCCGGAGGGUGGUGCCCGUGCAGCCUGCAGACGUCACUCUGGGAGCCGGAGGUUUGGGGCUCUGCUCCUUCUUGGUUCGGGGCAGGCCAAUGUGCGGAGUCAGCCCUGUUAAAAACCCCGGACGCUAUUGUAAGAAGAUAAUAAGGAAAUGCAAAGGCCCUAAUGGUCAGCGCCCGCUCCCUCAGUGCUCCAGGCUCUGCUCAAGGCACCUGCAGGGGACCCCUCCCCUCCAACCCCCGCGAGGGGCUGCGGGUGCCGUGCAGAUGAGAGAACGGGGCGCCAUGGCAGAGCGGGGACUGGAACUCGGACUCUGGUUCCAUCCCUCCUCCUCCUCGGGCCCCAUGGCCGUCUGGGCGGCAGCGGGGGGGAGUUAAAUGAUGUUCAGCCAGGGCCGAGGGUCACCCAGCGGUCACGUGGUGACGUAAACAGGGACUGAUGUGGGAGUUCACGGUUGUAACAGGUGGACCUUUGGCUGCAAGGAUUGGGAAAGGCGGUGAAUGGUGAUUUGAGCAAAUGGGGGUUUUGUUUUUCUUACACACAGGCGUCAGCGGCUUGUAUUUUCCUGUUGUUCCAGUAGUGCCAGCUCCCUACCUUUGCUCUGUGUCCUUAGCACGGUGGUUGUUCUUGUCCUCCACACCUCAGUGUCCUAAAAGGGCUCCUGCAGCUCCAGCCUUCGCGUCCGGGUUGCAGGCAGCGGGGAGGGGGAAGAGCUGCCCAGGCCGUGUCUGCUCCCUCUUAACUCCCACAUCAGACUCCUGUGACGUCAUUGACCAGGAUGGGUUACCUGCCCAUCACUAGCUGCAGGGCAUGCUGGGAAAGUGAGAACAGGAGUGUCAGUGAUGGGCUUAGAUGCACAAGGACUCAGGGCCACCUGAGGGAAACUGGUUGGGAGCAGGGGCGGGAAGGUAAGAGCCUGCCGAGACGGUGGAGGGAGGAGGCCGUAACGCUCCGUGAGGAGGGUCCCAUGUUUGAAAUCCUGAGAAUGUGCUUACAGACAGAGCCCAGGAGAGCCGCAGGGUCCCGUGGAAUCGGGGCUGCCCACGAUGAUCCCUCACUUAGCUAUUUGCUUUCCCGCUCAAGGGAAACGGCGGUGCCCAGGAGCCAUGCUCCAGGUGGCCCAGCCUCCGUCACUAUUGUGACAGUAGACUCCUGGUGGUGUAGUUGGCCAGCCGCUCUUGGGGGCCAGUAUGAGAGCCUUUCUUAUAUUUCUACGCUGAUUCCUUUUUUCUUUCACAAAGAGAAAAAACAAGAGCUCUUAUGAAUCAUUCUCAGUUCCCUGACUUUAGAAAUGUGUGGUGGAGAACAGAGAGGUGCGGUGACUUGCCCAGAGCACACAGCCGGCGUGUGGCGGGCUUCAUACUGGGGGAAGAGGCCGAUGAUGGCUUUAGCAGAGGGGCGAGGGCGAGGGUGGAGGUAAGGGCGCCAGUCACUUUAGUGUGUCUUUCUUCCCCAGAGAAGACAUGUCUCAAGCAGGACACCUCUCCAGGAGCCUCAUCUUGUGCACCUUCCUGCAGGAGCAUGGGCUGCCAGCGGCCGAGGAUCCCGGCGUGACCAGCCUCCUCCAGUACUCGCCUGAGCCCCUGGGAUGGCAGCAGGGGACAUCAUUGGGUAUCAGCAUGCAGCUGAGGGCUCAGACCAACCAGAAGCCCCUGCCCCUGCUUCUGGAGCCACCGGUGGGCAGACCUUGAUGGCUGUCUGCAGCAAGAGCCCUCCCUCACGAGGUGGCCAUGCGGCUGGCCUUCAUUGGGGACGAGUUGGAAGUGAGAUGGACGCUGCCCCGCUUUGCCCACGUGCCCUGGAUGGCCAUGUACAGCUUCGCGCACACCUACAACCAGACCGGCCUGAGGGUGGUCCUUACCAGUGUUAUGGGUGGCCUCCCUUACCUCAGGGGGAACAGAAGGUUCUGGAGCUUCCUGAUCCUCAGGGCCUGGGUGUCCCCCCGCCAGGGACAGGGGCGCAAGCUGUCCGGGCUGCUGCUGUUGGCGCUGCUGCUAGACUGGGGCCUGCACCUCCUCCAGUGACGCGCUGCUGGCCAGCGCGGGGCGGGCUGGCCCCUCCCCCACCACCACCCUGGAGGUGGCCUUGUUGGUUUUGUCUUUUUAACUGUUUUCUUAUGAUCCCUUUUUUAUAUUUAAAUUCUGAGUGCUGGGACACUCCUGAGGUUUCAUACGUGUUUUUUUGGUUUUGUUUUUUGUAAGAGAAAUGAAUUAUACCUCUGGGAUCUUCAUGGCUAACUGUUCUCCUGCCCCAGGAGCCAUCCUCUCCUGUGGGCCAUGCAGCAGGCGCUGGGGGAGUGCUGGUCACACCCGUGUCUGCGAUGCCCGCAGCAGAGAGAAUCUGCUGGAGUAGAUUUUGAGGGGUGAGGAGUCAAUAAAAUGUUGGUUUCCAUU
RNA transcript from Myotis davidii, 2612 nucleotides. It is a transcript of the gene named BCL2-interacting killer, with no coding region annotated. The transcript has 6 exons. The record is from RefSeq and is a predicted model, not a curated record. Lineage: Eukaryota; Metazoa; Chordata; Mammalia; Chiroptera; Vespertilionidae.